GACGAACGCUGGCGGCGUGCCUAAUACAUGCAAGUCGAACGCUUCUUUCCUCCCGAGUGCUUGCACUCAAUUGGAAAGAGGAGUGGCGGACGGGUGAGUAACACGUGGGUAACCUACCCAUCAGAGGGGGAUAACACUUAGAAACAGGUGCUAAUACCGCAUAACAGUUUAUGCCGCAUGGCAUAAGAGUGAAAGGCGCUUUCGGGUGUCGCUGAUGGAUGGACCCGCGGUGCAUUAGCUAGUUGGUGAGGUAACGGCUCACCAAGGCCACGAUGCAUAGCCGACCUGAGAGGGUGAUCGGCCACACUGGGACUGAGACACGGCCCAGACUCCUACGGGAGGCAGCAGUAGGGAAUCUUCGGCAAUGGACGAAAGUCUGACCGAGCAACGCCGCGUGAGUGAAGAAGGUUUUCGGAUCGUAAAACUCUGUUGUUAGAGAAGAACAAGGACGUUAGUAACUGAACGUCCCCUGACGGUAUCUAACCAGAAAGCCACGGCUAACUACGUG
RNAcentral lists this ribosomal RNA (508 nucleotides) under uncultured bacterium. RNAcentral describes it as "partial 16S ribosomal RNA". It matches the Rfam family "Bacterial small subunit ribosomal RNA", at positions 28 to 507 of the family's 1533-position model. The record is from RNAcentral.